Molecule: long non-coding RNA, 1003 nt
Filed under: Octopus vulgaris (common octopus)
Lineage: Eukaryota; Metazoa; Mollusca; Cephalopoda; Octopoda; Octopodidae
Source: RNAcentral
GGUUUUUUGGCUGACUGUCAUCCUGUACUCCCCUCGUUGCCAGCGAAAUGGUAUGUGCCGGCUGUCUGAGCAACUCGUUGCUUCUUCCCCAGCUGGGCAUUCAGCAAGGCAGGGCGUGAAUUGUGUCGGACACACAGACUGACUAAAAGAGGGACAACGGCAGCAUCUAAGCCAACUCUGAAAAAAAAAGGACACCGCUCGGCAGGAAACCGGGUACCUUGAAGUGGACAUACAGAAUUAUUGUAGUACCCGGUUACUCUAUGUGAAAGAAAACAAAUACAGGCUACCAUCGUUAUAUGUAAAUACAUAAUAAUAUAUAUAUACAUAUAGGAGUAUAUAUCCGUUAUAUACACUGUGAUUAUGAAAGAGAUCUUUUACUAUUUAACAACUUAAAAAGCUCUGUUGGAUUUCGAAAUUUCGUGUUAUCUGCAAACAUAUAGCUACACAAACAUGCAUUGAUAUCCCCACAAAUUAUAUAUACUCGUCACCCAAUUUACAAUUAUACACGCUUUCACAGCUAUACAUACAUAAAUACAUACAUACAUACUUACAUACAUACGUACAUACAUACAUUGAUACUGUCACAAAUAUAUACUCACUCAUACCUACAUACAAAUACAUGUUUUACUACAGAAUAUUAGUGAAGGAAAAAAAAUACAAUUUAAAUAUUUAUCUAAAACACACAAAAGUAUAAUUAAUUGCUCUGCAUAUCAAAAUAGCCACAAGGAAUCAUUGUUACAUAAUAUUGUGAUAUAAUAUUUAUUUCUCCCUCCCACACACAUAUACACACACAUAUAUAUAGCUGUUAUCCCAUAAAUCGCAUUCCCCCACAACUAAUAUAGCCUUUACAUUAUUCCAUACUUUUUUCGAACAAAAGAGUGAAAGAAAAAAAGUUGUUCUUUUUAAAACUAUCAAAAGUACAAAUCGUCACUAAACAACCAUGAAGUCAGCUAAACUUGCUGUGAGCAGUGAAGGUAGCCCAGAGACAAAAAUCGACCAGGUU